Molecule: ribosomal RNA, 468 nt
Filed under: uncultured bacterium
Lineage: Bacteria
Description: partial 16S ribosomal RNA
Rfam family: Bacterial small subunit ribosomal RNA
Source: RNAcentral
GACGAACGCUGGCGGCGUGCUUAACACAUGCAAGUCGAACGGAAAGGCCCUGCUUUUGUGGGGUGCUCGAGUGGCGAACGGGUGAGUAACACGUGAGUAACCUGCCCUUGACUUUGGGAUAACUUCAGGAAACUGGGGCUAAUACCGGAUAGGAGCUCCUGCUGCAUGGUGGGGGUUGGAAAGUUUCGGCGGUUGGGGAUAGACUCGCGGCUUAUCAGCUUGUUGGUGGGGUAGUGGCUUACCAAGGCUUUGACGGGUAGCCGGCCUGAGAGGGUGACCGGCCACAAUGGGACUGAGAUACGGCCCAGACUCCUACGGGAGGCAGCAGUGGGGAAUAUUGCACAAUGGGCGGAAGCCUGAUGCAGCAACGCCGCGUGCGGGAUGACGGCCUUCGGGUUGAAAACCGCUGUCGCCUGUGACGAAGCGUGAGUGACGGUAAUGGGUAAAGAAGCACCGGCUAACUACGUG